RNAcentral lists this ribosomal RNA (116 nucleotides) under Pteropus alecto (black flying fox). Lineage: Eukaryota; Metazoa; Chordata; Mammalia; Chiroptera; Pteropodidae. The record is from RNAcentral. RNAcentral also lists the same sequence under 1 other name.
GUCUAUGGCCAUACCACCCUGAACAAACCCAAUGUCUGAUCUCGGAAGCUAAGCAGGGUUGGGCCUGGUUAGUACUUUGAUGGGAGACCACCCAGGAAGACCAGGUGCUGCAGGCA